GGCGAGGGGAGUGAAAAAGAACCUGAAACCGUGUACGUACAAGCAGUGGGAGCCCCACCACCAAAGCAUUUGCUGUACCGUGUUGACGGAGCGAAGCGACGUCAAACCGAUAAAACAGCAGUGUAAAGUGAGCCGCAGGGCGCUUUGCGCGACAGCGCAAAGGCAGGCGGUUUCGCGUAGCGAAAGCGAAUGCUUUGGGGUGGGGUGACUGCGUACCUUUUGUAUAAUGGGUCAGCGACUUAUAUUCUGUAGCAAGGUUAACCGAAUAGGGGAGCCGGAGGGAAACCGAGUCUUAACCG
This 299-nucleotide ribosomal RNA is filed under the name Salmonella enterica subsp. enterica serovar Heidelberg. RNAcentral's name for it is "partial 23S ribosomal RNA". It matches the Rfam family "Bacterial large subunit ribosomal RNA", at positions 528 to 690 of the family's 2925-position model. The record is from RNAcentral. Lineage: Bacteria; Pseudomonadati; Pseudomonadota; Gammaproteobacteria; Enterobacterales; Enterobacteriaceae.